This 563-nucleotide small RNA is filed under the name Pan troglodytes (chimpanzee). RNAcentral's name for it is "processed transcript". The record is from RNAcentral. Lineage: Eukaryota; Metazoa; Chordata; Mammalia; Primates; Hominidae.
ACAGUGUCCCAUCAAACUUCGUAGAAGCCUUCCCCAGAGGAGUAAACUCAGUGCGCGAUCUUAAGCGCGCAUCUGUGGAAAGAAUUAAAAAAAGUUUGCCAACCGCUGCUCUGUAGGGGGCGGCCACACAAAACCUCUUACAUCAUGGGCGACUUCAGGAACAGCCAUAGACAGGGUCUCUGUCACCCAGGCUGGAAUGCGACAGCACAAUCACAGCUUACUGCAGCCUCUAACUCCUAGGCUUAUGUGAUCUUCCCACCUCAGCCUCCCAAAGUAUUGAGAUUACAGCAGGCUUGGGUGCACCACACCCCUCCCAGCAAGCACUGACUCAUCGCAGACUUUUAACUAGUCCAGUGCUGGUUUCCAAGGGGUUUCUGAAGUGUCUGGUGGUUCUGGGGUAAGGGUGAGGUUCCUGGGGGGAUGGCCUAGGGCAUAGAAGGCCCAGGCCAAAUCUGUGGGCCCGGCAUAGCUUGCUGCGACUCCUUCCUGUCAGUGUCCUGGCAUCACCCUACUUUCCUGGUGCAAACUCCUAAGCCCUCCUCUUUCCCUAUGCAGCCUCCCUU